CCUUACCAGGGCGUGACAUGGCGGGGAAAGGUAUAGACAUAUUUCCCUCUCUUCAUGAAACAUCCAACCAGUUGCCCCAUGGUUGUCGUCAGCUAAGCUGUUGACAAGCCAGAGUAAGUCCCUCAACCAGCGCAACCCCUAGGUUUAGUCUCCAGCGCAUAAUGCCGGGGACUUCAAGUAGACCUCCGAUGGCAAAUUGGAGGAAGGUGGGGAUGCCGUCAAAUCAUCCUUCCUCUCAGAUCCCGGGCUACUCGCGUCCUACAAUGGUUGGUACAGAGGGCACAAAUAUAUCGAUAGCAUCCCCAUCUCCAAAGCCAAAAUCAGUUUUGGUAGUAGCAUGCGAUUAGCCGACAACAAGUGGGAGUAGUCCGUCAUUGGGGAGCAGAUCGUUGCGGUGAGGGCGGUUCCGGGUCUUGUACACACCCCCCGUCACGGUC
Molecule: ribosomal RNA, 437 nt
Filed under: uncultured bacterium
Lineage: Bacteria
Description: bacterial SSU rRNA
Rfam family: Bacterial small subunit ribosomal RNA
Source: RNAcentral